AUGUUGAGAAAAUGUUAUUCAACAGAGCCGAACCCAUCUCCAUUUCAUUUUGCGAAUCACCCUCGGCGAGACCCGGACCCGGACCGGAGCACCAUCCGUCUCCGGCAUCUUAACCCGCCGUCCGUGCCCCGUCGCCCACUGCUCAUCCCCGCCGCGAUGGGGAGCGUAGACCUGGUGCUGAAGUCAGCGUGCGAGGGCUGCGGCUCCACGUCGGACCUCUACGGCACUGGGUGCAAGCACACCACGCUCUGUAGCUCCUGCGGCAAGUCCAUGGCGCUUUCCCGCGCCCGAUGUCUCGUCUGCUCUGCGCCCAUCACGAACCUCAUCCGGGAAUACAAUGUGCGGGCAAAUGCCAGCACAGAUAAGGCAUUCUCUAUUGGAAGAUUUGUAACUGGUUUGCCGCCAUUCUCAAAGAAAAAGAAUGCUGAGAACAAAUGGUCUCUUCAUAAAGAAGGCCUGCAAGGACGGCAGCUUACUGACAAAAUGCUGGAGAAAUACAACAGGAAGCCAUGGAUUUUGGAAGAUGAAACUGGUCAAUAUCAGUUUCAAGGUCACAUGGAGGGAUCACAGUCAGCAACAGCUACAUACUAUUUGUUAAUGUUGCAUGGCAAGGAAUUUCACGCAUUUCCUGCUGGUUCCUGGUAUAACUUCAGUAAAGUUGCGCAGUACAAGCAGCUGACUCUGGAAGAGGCCGAGGAGAAGAUGAACAAGAGAAAGACUAGUGCAACUGGUUAUGAACGUUGGAUGAUGAAAGCAGCUACAAAUGGGCCAGCUGCCUUUGGUUCAGAUAUGAUGAAACUUGAGCCUGCUAACGAUGGGGAAAAAGAAAGUGCUCGUCAUAAGAAGGGGAAAGAUAAUGAGGAGGGUGGUAAUUCUGAUAAAGGUGAGGAGAAUGAAGAAGAGGAAGCCGGUCGUAAAGAUAGGCUCGGGCUCUCUAAAAGGGGCAUGGAUGACGAUGAGGAAGGUGGAAAAGAUCUAGAUUUUGAUUUGGAUGAUGACAUUGAGAAAGGUGAUGACUGGGAACAUGAAGAAACAUUCACCGAUGAUGACGAGGCUGUGGAUAUCGACCCAGAGGAGCGGGCAGAUUUAGCUCCUGAAAUUCCUGCUCCACCUGAAAUUAAGCAGGAUGAUGAAGAGAAUGAGGAAGAAGGUGGCCUGAGCAAGUCAGGAAAGGAAUUAAAGAAGCUGCUUGGUCGUUCUUCUGGACAAAAUGAGUCGGAUGCCGAUGAUGAUGAUGAAGAAGAUGAUGAUGAUGAGUCAUCUCCAGUGCUUGCUCCAAAGCAGACGGAUCAACCAAAAGAUGAACCUGUUGAUAACAGCCCAGCCAAACCUACACCUUCAUCAGGACAUGCUCGUAGCACACCUCCUGCAUCGAAAUCCAAGCAAAAGAGGAAAUCUGGUGGUGAUGAUGCCAAAGCAUCUAGCGGUGCUGCUUCAAAGAAAGCAAAGGUGGAAUCUGAUACAAAAACAUCAAGUAUCAAAGAGGAGACACCAUCUUCCUCAAAACCUACACCGAAGGCCUCUGCUUCAUCAAGAAGUGCCAAUGUAUCUCCUGUGACAGAGGAUGAGAUCAGGACUGUUCUUCUUGCAGUGGCUCCUGUCACUACACAAGAUUUAGUCUCCAGAUUUAAGUCUAGACUACGAGGUCCAGAGGAAGAAGCUAUUGCUGUUAAUGACUUGGCAUCCAGGCUUGGACACAGUCACAAAGUCCACAAGAGUAUCGUGCAUCGGUGCAUGGACGCUAUCAGGCUCCCCAUCCACCACCUUCAGGACAAGAACGCCUUUGCUGAAAUUCUGAAGAAAAUUUCGAAGAUACAGAAGACUAAUGGCCACAACUAUGUUGUCCUUAGAGAGGAUAAGAAAUGA
This 1866-nucleotide ribosomal RNA is filed under the name Triticum aestivum (bread wheat). Its description in RNAcentral is "partial small subunit ribosomal RNA". Lineage: Eukaryota; Viridiplantae; Streptophyta; Magnoliopsida; Poales; Poaceae. The record is from RNAcentral.